AGAGUUUGAUCAUGGCUCAGGAUGAACGCUAGCGGCAGGCCUAAUACAUGCAAGUCGAACGGGACUAAGUAGCAAUACUUAGUUCAGUGGCGCACGGGUGCGUAACGCGUAUGCAACCUACCUUAAACUGGGGGAUAGCCUUCCGAAAGGGAGAUUAAUACCGCAUAAUACUAUUUGAUGGCAUCUGAAGAUAGUUAAAGAUUUAUUGGUUUAAGAUGGGCAUGCGUGCCAUUAGCUAGUUGGUAGUGUAACGGACUACCAAGGCUACGAUGGCUAGGGGUUCUGAGAGGAUGAUCCCCCACACUGGCACUGAGAUACGGGCCAGACUCCUACGGGAGGCAGCAGUAGGGAAUAUUGGGCAAUGGACGAAAGUCUGACCCAGCCAUGCCGCGUGCAGGAAGAAGGCCUUCUGGGUUGUAAACUGCUUUUAUCUGGGAAGAAAACACCUAUGCGUAGGGAACUGACGGUACCAGAUGAAUAAGCACCGGCUAACUCCGUGCCAGCAGCCGCGGUAAUACGGAGGGUGCAAGCGUUGUCCGGAUUUAUUGGGUUUAAAGGGUGCGUAGGCGGCCCGAUAAGUCAGUGGUGAAAGCCUCCAGCUCAACUGGAGAACUGCCAUUGAUACUGUCGGGCUUGAGUACAGACGAGGUUGGCGGAAUUGAUUGUGUAGCGGUGAAAUGCAUAGAUACAAUCAAGAACACCGAUUGCGUAGGCAGCUAACUAGGCUGUAACUGACGCUGAGGCACGAAAGCGUGGGGAGCGAACAGGAUUAGAUACCCUAGUAGUCC
Molecule: ribosomal RNA, 788 nt
Filed under: uncultured bacterium
Lineage: Bacteria
Description: bacterial SSU rRNA
Rfam family: Bacterial small subunit ribosomal RNA
Source: RNAcentral